This 488-nucleotide ribosomal RNA is filed under the name uncultured bacterium. RNAcentral's name for it is "partial 16S ribosomal RNA". It matches the Rfam family "Bacterial small subunit ribosomal RNA", at positions 29 to 504 of the family's 1533-position model. The record is from RNAcentral.
AGUGAACGCUGGCGGUAGGCCUAACACAUGCCAGUCGAACGGCAGCACAGUAAGAGCUUGCUCUUACGGGUGGCGAGUGGCGGACGGGUGAGGAAUACAUCGGAAUCUACUUUUUCGUGGGGGAUAACGUAGGGAAACUUACGCUAAUACCGCAUACGACCUACGGGUGAAAGCAGGGGAUCUUCGGACCUUGCGCGAUUGAAUGAGCCGAUGUCGGAUUAGCUAGUUGGCGGGGGAAAGGCCCACAAGGCGACGAUCCGUAGCUGGUCGGAGGGGAUGAUCAGCCACACUGGAAGUGGGACACGGUCCGGACUACUACGGGGGGCAGCAGUGGGGAAUAUGGGACAGUGGGCGAAAGCGUGCUCCAGCCUUACCGCGUGGGUGAAGAAGCCGUGCGGGUUGUAAAGCCCUUUUGUUGGGAAAGAAAAGCAGCAGGUUAAGACCCCGCUGUUCGGACGGUACCCAAGGAAUAAGCACCGGAGAACUUC